This 72-nucleotide transfer RNA is filed under the name Tetrahymena thermophila SB210. RNAcentral's name for it is "Tetrahymena thermophila tRNA-Asp for anticodon GUC". It matches the Rfam family "tRNA". From Rfam's summary of the family: Transfer RNA (tRNA) molecules are approximately 80 nucleotides in length. Their secondary structure includes four short double-helical elements and three loops (D, anti-codon, and T loops). The record is from Rfam by way of RNAcentral. Lineage: Eukaryota; Ciliophora; Oligohymenophorea; Hymenostomatida; Tetrahymenidae.
UCCGAGAUGGUGUAGUGGAAAGCAUUGCAGCUUGUCUCGCUGCAGACCUGGGUUCAAUUCCCAGUCUUGGAG